Amblyraja radiata (thorny skate) is the source of this 439-nucleotide long non-coding RNA. RefSeq lists it as uncharacterized. The record is from RefSeq and is a predicted model, not a curated record. The transcript has 2 exons. Lineage: Eukaryota; Metazoa; Chordata; Chondrichthyes; Rajiformes; Rajidae.
UCAGUUCAAAGAAGGGUCCAGACCCGACACGUCACCUGUCCAUUUCCCUCCAAAGUGCCGAUAUAACACAGCCGUGGUGGGAAACGGAUGGAGAAGUGUUCCCAAUAUAAGCCCUCCUUGCCCUGUCGAGAAUGCUGUGUCCAUUCUUGGGAUGGGAUGCAAGGUCCGAGCUGACCACUCAUGAUCAUCAAUAGCCCCCCACUCGUGGGCCAUCUCUUCGUCAUUCCUCUGCCUUCGCACUGGCAAAAGGCGUCAGGAUUAAUCCCGAGUCACCGCUUCCCGUUCCCCGGUCGUUACCCCUCAGCUACGAACGGUGGGAUCUCGUUCUCCGCUCUUGGACGUCCGCAAGACUCUGGCUGUGAUCAACAAGGACUUUUGCUCGUAACCUGCUGGAGCCAAGUUGUAUUCCAAUGAAAUAAAUGUGUUUUUUUUAAGCCCC